AACGUAGGUGGCGAGCGUUAUCCGGAAUCACUGGGCGUAAAGGGCAUCUAGGCGGUCGUGUAAGUUGUUUGUGAAAGCCUUCGGCUCAACCGGGGGAGGACAGGCAAGACUGCACGGCUAGAGGGUCGGAGAGGGACGUGGAAUUCCCGGUGUAGUGGUGAAAUGCGUAGAGAUCGGGAGGAACACCAGUGGCGAAGGCGGCGUCCUGGCCGGACCCUGACGCUGAAGUGCGAAAGCGUGGGGAG
RNAcentral lists this ribosomal RNA (245 nucleotides) under uncultured bacterium. Its description in RNAcentral is "partial 16S ribosomal RNA". It matches the Rfam family "Bacterial small subunit ribosomal RNA", at positions 524 to 768 of the family's 1533-position model. The record is from RNAcentral.